Molecule: long non-coding RNA, 1860 nt
Organism: Lates calcarifer (barramundi perch)
Lineage: Eukaryota; Metazoa; Chordata; Actinopteri; Centropomidae
Exons: 2
Source: RefSeq, a predicted model, not a curated record
GCACUGUAUUUUUCCCUCUGAGAUUUGCUCGCAGCUGAAGUCUCGUUCUGUUUGCGUACAAUCUCGCGAUACUUGGACAUGCCACCAGCUCCCAGCAAGCGACCACAAACCCGCUCCGCCAGGAAAGAUGGCGAGGAUGAUAGCGGAGCUACCUGGGCUAACUGAAGGCUGGAGGUCUUGGUUUGGCACUGGAGACCCCCCACCCCUUCUUCAAGGACAGGGAGCCUCCUGAGAAGUAGGCUACACCUUUUUCAGAGGACCUGCUACCUCUUCUUCCAUCUCUAUUCUUUUAAUCCUGUCACACACACACACAGGCCUAAAGUUGUCAGUGAUCUGGACUCUGGAGGAGGACGGGGGAGGGAGAGGGGGAGAGAGGAAGGGGAGGGGGGGCUGUGGGAUGAGGUAGUAGUUUGUAUAGUUUUAGGAUCACACCAGAUCUGGGAGAUAACUAUACAGCCUACUGUCUUUCUCACGGCGUCCACACCAUCACCUAACACGACGGGGACCGCCUGACGCUUCCAAGUCUAGUUGCCACGGCGACUGGAGCAUCUGUUGCCGCCGGCGACCAACACACGAUCAGUAAAUUUGCAUCUUGAAUUCUGGGUUCGUUUCACUGGUUGUAGUCUGUGUCUUGCUGUCCUACCGUGUCCCCUGGCUGGUGAACAAUUAGAGAUAACACCUGUCUUAUUAGUAAUCUGACUGAUAAUCAUAUUUAGCUUCAGUUUCUCUGUGUUUAAGGACGAGUUUUUUUAGCAAACAUGCAAAAAAAGCACUAAAACCAUACACACAAUCCCUGUCUGAUUAAAUUAAAAUACAAACUUACUGAAGGAUGGAACAGAUUUUGACUCUGCCCUCACACUGUGACAACAAAUCUGCAGGAAGUGUUCAUUUUGGGAUUGUUUCAUGGUGCGUCAGGGCAGACGUGUUUGUAGCUGUGCUGUGGUGAGGUAGUAAGUUGUGUUGUUGUGGGGUGUGUGAUAUUUCAGCCCCUGUUUUGGAGAUACAACUAUACAACUUACUGCCUUCCACAAUGUGGCAGCGUGAUGCACUUGUGUUCCAGCUGCUGAGGUGUGUUCAGAUGUGUUUUUGCCCAGGGUUUAGAUAUGCUAGUAAGUAGUUAGAUGUGUGCUUUGCUGAUAUUUAUUUUUGUAUUUUAGCUUAAUGAAAUUUUGAUUGACAGAAAUUCAUAGCUAUAGCUGUGCAGGUGCAUGAAUAAACAUUUACCUCUGCUACCUCAUAGUGCAGAGCUGCAACAGCUAGACUGUGGAAUUUUCUGACUUUUUAUGGACAAAUUACUAAUCAAUUAAAAUAAUUGUCAGUUGCAGGACUUUUUAGUGUGUAAUAAUCCAUUCAUUAAAUCUCUCUAUACUGUUAUUUUCAGUGUAUAAUUUGCUGAUUUUAUACCGUGUGGGCUGUAAAAUGUCAGAAAAAGGUGAAAAGUGCUGAUCACCACAGUCCAAAACCCAAAGAGAUUUUAAAAGAGAAAAUCUACAGUUCUUCACACUGGGGAAGCUGCUACCAGAGAACACCUGGAGUCUCUGCUUAAACAAUGACUGAUACAAUUAACUGACUGAACAGCUGAUUGUUAAGUUGACUAAAAGAUAAACUGACUAAUGUUUGCAGUUCUAAAAUAAAUACCUUUAUUUUUUUAGGAAAACUGGACUAAAAGAUAAACUGGUUCACUGUAAAAAUAAACUGAUUAAUUCAUUAUUAAAUUAAAUGCACCAAUGCUUUAUAUUUUCCUGAUUUGUGCUGAAAUGCUGGUUUAUUUUAAUGUUAUAAUUAUAGAUUCUUUUUUUUUUCUUAUAAAUGCUUUAUUUUUGCAUGCACAUUAUAAGAAUAAAGGAUAUAUUUCUGUUA